GGUUUGUUCCCCGCUCCUCGCGUCUCCCUGGGCUCCUCCCGCCCGUGCCCCGCUGCGGCAGCCGGGCUCUCCCCGGCGGAGCCCCGGGGCCCGUCCCGCCGUGCCCGCGGGCAGGGAGGGUCCCCGGGCGGCGGGGCGGAAGGGGGGGCCGGCGCUGAGCUGAGGGAGGGGCCGGGACGCCGGCGCGUCGGUGCCGACGGUCUCCAGGAGGGAGUGAGGAGGAGGAGGAAGAGGAGGAGGUGAGCUCCUGUGGUCUGAUGUGCAGCUGGUGAGAAGAGAGAAACUGGAGGCCUUCCCCUGUUCCAUCUGCACCUUUAAAAGGACUUCACUGAAGGCAGUGCAAGGCAGGCAUAGCAGGUAUGAUCUGUGGGAGUUCAACAGCAAAUGCUUCAGAAAAGCAAAGAUUCACUGCUCUAAGUUCACCAAUCUCUCCUGCAGGAGAAACAAUUGAAGAAUGCUACUACACUCAGGAAAAUCACACUUUGAAAUCUGUCCAUUGGAAUGAAGCAGAUAGGAUGGGUUGGAAGAAACACUUCUCACCACUGAGAUCCAUAGCCAAGAUUCCCAAACUGCUUUGGUGAAGACCUCUGAAGCAGCACCACCUGGUAUUUUACUGCUGCCAGUUUUGAAUGCAGGUUUCACACAGUUCUGAAGUACUUGGAAAAUGAGUGUCCUUCUGAUUGAACCCUUUUAUGGUGGCUCCCACAAGCAGCUGAUGGAUCUUCUCCAGGAAGAGCUGCAAGAAGAUUGUGUCCUCUGCACACUCCCAGCCAAGAAGUGGCAUUGGAAGGCACGGACUUCUGCUCUUUAUUUCAUGCAAACAGUGCCAACAAGUUCUAAUUACAGGAUCCUCUUUGCAAGCUCGGUGCUUAACCUGGCUGAACUCGCCGCCCUCCGCCCUGACCUUGGCAAAUUGAAAAAGGUCCUCUACUUCCAUGAGAACCAAUUGGCAUAUCCUGUCCAGAAAUGCCAGGAAAGGGAUUUUCAGUAUGGAUACAACCAAAUUCUUUCAUGUUUGGUUGCUGAUGUUGUGGUAUUCAACUCUGCUUUUAAUAUGGAAUCCUUUCUUAAGUCCAUUGGAAAAUUUAUGAAGCUGAUUCCUGACCACAGACCUAAGGAUUUGGAAAAAAUAAUCAGACCGAAGUGCCAAGUUCUUUAUUUUCCAGUCAGGUUUCCUGAUGUGAGCAGGUUCAUGCCAGAGCAUAAACUUGCCCGUUUGGAAAAGGUAAUUGGUGUUAAAAGGAAUGGAGAUGCUUAUCAGUCAGAGGGGCUGCCUGGCCAGCAGGAGAGCAGAGCUGUAAUGAAAACCAGUGAUGCACAUCCUGAGUCUGGACUUUGUGAGCCCCAGCCUGGACUCUGCACCACACAGCACGAGGGGCUGCCCUCCCCAGCAGCAGCCCCAGUCCAGGCUGAAGCACCAGAGAGUACAAAUCCUUGUCAAGGGGAAGAUAAGCAACGUCUGACUUUUAACCUCUCUAAUAUCUUGAGUGGACUGGACUAUCAGCAAAGACCUCUGCACAUCGCCUGGCCUCACAGGUGGGAACAUGACAAAGAUCCUGAAACUUUCUUUAAAGUCCUGAUGAAGCUGAAAGAACAAGAUCUGCCUUUCCAUGUGUCCGUCCUUGGAGAGACUUUCAGUGAAAUUCCAGAUAUCUUUUCAGAGGCCAGGGAGGUGUUGGGAUCGUCCGUCUUGCACUGGGGGUACUUGCCCAGCAAGGAUGACUAUUUCCGAGCUCUGUGCACGGCUGAUGUUGUCAUCUCCACAGCCAAACACGAAUUCUUUGGCGUGGCAAUGAUCGAGGCUGUGCAUUGUGGCUGUUACCCGCUGUGUCCCAAAGCCUUGGUGUACCCAGAGAUAUUCCCAGCUGAAUAUCUGUAUUCUACACCUGAACAGCUUUUUAAAAGGCUUCAGAAUUUCUGCAAGAGACCAGAUAUUGUAAGGAGACAUCUCUAUAAGGAAUUGCAAUCUGGGCCUGGAGUGGAGACAUUCAGAUAUUAUUCUGGCCAAUUUCUGAUGGGACAAGAAAUACCAUAUUCCACCACCGCGAAGGCAACGAGAGCGUAUUACUUGUCCAAAGAGUGUGUGUGUGUGUCUGUCUUUUUCUUUUUUUUUUCUUGGCACUCACAGAUCCAAAAAUGUUCCGAGAGAUAAAGACCCCUCUGAUGUUGAACAGGUGGCUUGUCCAGGUCAUCGAGCACGACGAUGGCUGUGAAAACAAAGCGUGUGGUGGUCCCACCUCGGCGCGAGGCGCGGGGGCGCGGCGGGGAUGCGGUUGGCAUUUAAAGGUCAGUCCCUGGCAGGUCCUCGGCACGUUCCCAGCAGCAGGUGACCUCCGUGACUGCUCUCCCAUCUCACACAUCCGCCUCAUCAAGGAGCCAGGCUGCACCUUUAUGAAACUGUUUGCAGAAGAACGAGGCGUGAUCACAACUAAGCUGAAGGGUGUCAUAUUCACUUUACCACCGACAUGAGGACCAGUGGUUGAAUAUUCGAUUACACGUCAGUCACAGCACAUUAGGCAAUCUUCCAGUCUGCCAGCUUUGCCCUUCCCAGCUCCCAGCUAAGUGUCAUCAGGAAAGAAGUAGCACUGUGAAGGCAGGAAUUGGCUUGCUCUGGGAGCUUGAGUCCCCAUGAAAAAUGUCCUCUCUUAUCAUUCCAGUGAGUCUAUUGUUUCCCCAUGCUCUGGAGAGAGGAAGGUUGUUCCUCCUGACUGUGGAUUCAAACCACUCAUGGUGCAGUUGCUACUCAAUUUUGUCUCUAGAUCCAAAGGUAUAAAUGUGUGCAAAAGCAGCAAAUGUUGUAUUGAAAAAUUAGGGAGCUGUCAUUCCAACUACAUUACCAAAAAUAUUCUGCUCUUUCAAAUAAAGUGGCUAUAAAAACUUGUUGCUCUGACCAAGCAUUUUCUGGACUGUUUUGCUUGCAAAUUACUGAGUGAAAAUAUGCUAGGAGUGGAAGUUAAGGACUGUGGACAAUUUCCCACUUUGCUGAAGCCAGAAAAAUCCCAUCUCAGCUCCAAGAAGGAAACUACUUUCCAAAAUCUCAUGCAGAAAGUCCCGGUUCAGCUGGAACGAGCUGCUCCGUUUGCGCUCAGUGGUUUCUGGAAUAAUAAAAAGCCCUGUAUGCCCAUGCCGGCAAGCACAAGCACCAAAGGAUAAUGCUCCACAACUCCAAGAAAUACUUAGAGGGAGAGACUGCCUGCGGAGUGGGGAGUGCAGUGUGAUGGAUGAAACAAUAAAAAUGACACCGCUGGUAAAACUGAAAGUUUAUGUGUUGUGCCUAUGAUUGAUGUCAGGGUGGUGGCAUCUGGACCCUGUGUCAUAUUAUGGGAGCAGCAUGAGACCCUCCAUGUGGCAGGAUGGUUGCACCCAUGGCUGGUAGGUCCAGGGAGGUGAAUUUGGCCUGCCUGGUGUCUGGUGAAAGAAAACCUCCAUGAGGAAUUGUCUGCAAGGACUGAGGGCAGCUGUCAGCAAAAGAGUGAAGUGGGAAGUGCAGGUCUCCAUUUUGGGUUGCUCUUGGAGAAAAUGGCUGUUUUCCCCCUGUGUCACCCAGCUCUUCCUUGCCCAUGUUUGAAAAGGGCAUCCUCAGUGCUGACAGCAGAGCUGUUACAGACAGAAGGACUGGGCUGAGAGCAGCCAGGGAAAUGCACCUUACUUUUAAAAACAAAGAUGUGCCUUGACAGCUUGCCAAAUGCCACAUCUGCCUCUCUUUGCACCUCUGUGGGUGAAGCUGAAUAGCAAGGUGGUGAAGAUGAGCGAACUUAUCCAUUAACUGUGUGAGAUCCACUCUCUCCUUUUCUGUACAGCAGCUGUAGGUGAUUCCUGACUGGAAGGACCUCCUGGAAACCCCAUCUGCAACACCUGGGGGGAGGCACAGCUGUGAGCUCCCUGUGGUGGGGUGAGGAGGCACCACACCACUAACACCUCAGAUGGGCUGGGAGGAGGGUGGGGAGCUUGGGCACUGGUAAAUUGGUUUUUUUUUCCCCUCUACUUCCCCCCACCAUUGUCAGUUGUCUUUGCUGCUGGAAUUUUUUUCAUCUUCCAUGAUGUCUCUCCGUUGGGGAAUGCUGCUGAGGAUGUGCAAGCCACGAUGGCCUUUGAAUUGGCUGUUUCUCAAGAGCUGAAUCUGUCCUUCAAUUAACCAGUUCAGAAAGCCCUAACUCAUCGCGGCGUUGCAGUCAUGUGGAGUUUUUGAGCAUGAUGUCAGUUGUGCUUGCACAUCCAUGAGAAAUGGCAGGAGAUGGGAACUUGGCUUGCUCUUCAGGACCAAAAAGUCCAGCUGUACAUGGAAAUGAGCAUGUAGGCCCCCAAAAUGAGCAAGUGAAAGGGUGCUUCGUGCUACGAGACAUCAGGAGUGCUGAUGAGGGGACCACACGUGGGGCUGGGCUGGUUUGGAGCAGAUUCUGGCACGAGAGGCCUCGCCAACAGAUUUCCACUCGGAUCCCUUCCAUUUCUCUGUCUCCCAUUUCCUUGCUUUACUGUAUUGGCUUCCUAGCUUGGCCUGUGUAGGCCCUGUCAAAUCCCAAACACACUGGGAACUUUAUUAUAAUUUUCCCUCGGAGUAGGCCAUAGUCUGUUGAGUUACAUUUAUUAUAUUAAGCCGUUUGUCAACUUGAAGUAAGAAUAUUUGCAAAAGCAGUCAAUCAUCAAUAGAUGAUUUAAAAUCUAAUGGUUUUUGGUGGGUGUAUGUAAUAUAAACAGAUAAGUUGGUGUUGAGGGAUGGGCCCAAACCAAAGCAUAUGGUUCUCCUCCAAAAUGUCAAGGGAUGUGGGGUUUUGGCCCAGCAAUGAAGGAGAAGGCCUCAUUUUAUAUGGCUACAGCUUCACUCUUUCCCUAAAUUAGUGCUCAAAAAUCUUGAUUUGUGUGCAUUGCUAGUAAUACAGCAGCCUGAUUUCCUUCUGUAUAAAGAGGAAACUUUCUUACGUACCAGAACCAUCACAAUAAAGAGUUAUUGUUUUAA
RNA transcript from Passer domesticus (house sparrow), 4954 nucleotides. It is a transcript of the gene named glycosyltransferase like domain containing 1, with no coding region annotated. The transcript is spliced from 15 exons. NCBI's taxonomy places the organism in Eukaryota, Metazoa, Chordata, Aves, Passeriformes, Passeridae. The record is from RefSeq and is a predicted model, not a curated record.